This 1547-nucleotide ribosomal RNA is filed under the name Triticum aestivum (bread wheat). RNAcentral's name for it is "partial small subunit ribosomal RNA". The record is from RNAcentral. Lineage: Eukaryota; Viridiplantae; Streptophyta; Magnoliopsida; Poales; Poaceae.
CCCGUUCGUCUCUGCAGGUAUAGCUGGUCGACGAUAGUUAGCUUAGUAGGUAAACGUUGAGAGUAUAGGUGAACUUGUGGAGACUGCUACUAGCUAGUGUACCACACUCAUUCACGACAAUCCUUAAUUAAUUAAUCCAAUUAAUUGAUAAUUAGUGACGAUACUGCCACGGUGAAAACCGUUGACGGAGGAAAACAUUGGCGGAACAUUUGACCCAUAUUUAUGGGGUUAGAAGUUAGUUAUCUUAUUGACAAGUUAGGUAUUUGACCCAUAUUUAUGGGGUUAGAAGUUAGUUAUUUUAUUGACAAGUUAGGUAAGCAAGGAGAAAGAAAAAGAAGAAAUGUGCAAUAGUCGUGAAACGGGAUUGGACCUCGCUCGCUAAUCCGGUGGGUGUAGUUAGGCAGUGGCCGCUGCAGGAACUACGGGCUCUCCGUCGUUCCAAAGAGGCUGUGCUGGCCUACGGGUCGCAAGGAACUGCGUAGAGCAACAGGGGCCGCCGUCGGGUGCGGGAGGCCGCGCACCACGCUCGUGCGGAGUGGGACGUCUCGCCGUGCCGCCGCGCCCAGAGGUCUGCCGCGCACCAGCGCACCGGAGCUGGAGGGCGUAGUCGGGCUCCGCAAGCGCCGUGUCCGCGUCCGCGACGCUCAGAGAGCUAGUCCCUUCUUUGGUCUACGUUUCUCUUUCUUUCGUGUUUUAAGUCUCUUUCCAGUUCUUGUCGUCUUGCCGUUCCCCUAGUCUUCUUUUGUAUGUUCUAGGGACACUGUGUAGAGCAUGUUUUGCUGUUAUUACGUUUCUGGUUGAGACGUAGUAUGUAGUUAGUCCACUAAGUUAAGGCUAAAGCAAUAUGAUUGGAGAUCACGUAGCAAAAAUUACAGCAGGUUUCGUUUGAAGCCGUCGUUGGGUACCGGGCCAGCUACAAAUGGAGCCGAUCCGAGGAGCGCCUCGCCGCUGUAGGAAGCCGGGCCGACGAGGGUCGCAACGUGGGGCUCCGCCGGCACCUGGUGCCGGGGCCGCACCGCCUCCUACGUGAGACCCGGACGUAGAAAAAGCUACUCCGCCGGUCCGCGCAUUGCGUGUCGCCGCCGUCGCCGGUUGCCGGCCACGGGCCGUACCGUUGCGGGCCGUCGUUUGUGCCACAGAGCGCCGAGGCGCCGCCGCCGGUAGCCGGCCGCACGCCGUCGCGCCAGGAGUCGGGCCCGUCUCCGUCGGGUGCUCCGCGUUUUGCGCCGCCGCGUUGGUAGCCAGACGGGCGUGACGUGUCGCCGUCGUCAAUGGUACCGGUGCUGCGAGCGUACCCUAUUCUUUAACCCCUAGAAUAGAAGAAACCUUAAAUAAGUUAAGUUGGUACAUGAAUCUCUAUUAGUAUAGAACGGGGACGUCAAAGUCUAGGUCAUUCUGAAUUGACCCUAAAUGAUUUGGCGUACAAAAUCAUGGGUCUAAAGACUUUAACAGUAAGUCAGAGAUUGUGAACGCCAACGUCAAAAUUCAGAUGUCUGAAACAAACCAGACGUAAAAUUAGAUACAUGAACGACAUUUCGUAUAAUUUU